GGAAUAUAAGAAUCCGUCUCUUAACUUUUAACUAAAAAAGUUAAGAACCGGCUCUUAAAACUCUUAUUUAAAAACCGGUUCUUAGCUUUUUUAGUUAAAAGUUAAGAGACGGGUUCUUAUAUUCC
Molecule: microRNA precursor, 125 nt
Filed under: Brassica oleracea var. oleracea
Lineage: Eukaryota; Viridiplantae; Streptophyta; Magnoliopsida; Brassicales; Brassicaceae
Description: MIR9563 microRNA precursor family
Rfam family: MIR9563 microRNA precursor family
Source: Rfam by way of RNAcentral